GAUGAAGAACGUAGCGAAAUGCGAUAAGUAAUGUGAAUUGCAGAAUCCAGUGAAUCAUCGAAUCUUUGAACGCACAUUGCGCCCGCCAGCAUUCUGGCGGGCAUGCCUGUUCGAGCGUCAUUUCAACCCUCGACCUCCCUUUGGGGAAGCCGGCGUUGGGGACCGGCAGCACACCGCCGGCCCUGAAAUGGAGUGGCGGCCCGUCCGCGGCGACCUCUGCGUAGUAAACCAACUCGCACCGGAACCCCGACGUGGCCACGCCGUAAAACACCCAACUUCUGAACGUUGACCUCGAAUCAGGUAGGACUACCCGCUGAACUUAAGCAUAUCAAUAAGCGGAGGA
Molecule: unclassified non-coding RNA, 343 nt
Filed under: soil metagenome
Description: partial contains 5.8S ribosomal RNA, internal transcribed spacer 2, and large subunit ribosomal RNA
Rfam family: 5.8S ribosomal RNA (bases 1-120)
Source: RNAcentral